CCUACGGGGGGCAGCAGUAGGGAAUAUUGCUCAAUGGGGGAAACCCUGAAGCAGCAACGCCGCGUGAAGGAUGAAGGUUUUCGGAUUGUAAACUCCUUUUGUUAGAGAAGAAAAUGACGGUACCUAACGAAUAAGCCCCGGCUAACUACGUGCCAGCAGCCGCGGUAAUACGGAGGGUGCAAGCGUUAUUCGGAAUCACUGGGCGUAAAGAGCGCGUAGGCGGGAUAGCAAGUCAGAUGUGAAAUCCUAUGGCUUAACCAUAGAACUGCAUUUGAAACUGUUAUUCUAGAGUAUGGGAGAGGUAGGUGGAAUUCUUGGUGUAGGGGUAAAAUGCGUAGAGAUCAAGAGGAAUACUCAUUGCGAAGGCGACCUGCUAGAACAUGACUGACGCUGAUGCGCGAAAGCGUGGGGAGCAAACAGGAUUAGAUACCCCAGUAGUC
RNAcentral lists this ribosomal RNA (440 nucleotides) under uncultured bacterium. RNAcentral describes it as "partial 16S ribosomal RNA". It matches the Rfam family "Bacterial small subunit ribosomal RNA", at positions 338 to 795 of the family's 1533-position model. The record is from RNAcentral.